RNAcentral lists this ribosomal RNA (402 nucleotides) under Phytophthora infestans (potato late blight agent). RNAcentral's name for it is "partial small subunit ribosomal RNA". It matches the Rfam family "Eukaryotic small subunit ribosomal RNA", at positions 30 to 432 of the family's 1831-position model. Lineage: Eukaryota; Oomycota; Peronosporomycetes; Peronosporales; Peronosporaceae. The record is from RNAcentral.
GCUUGUCUCAAAGAUUAAGCCAUGCAUGUCUAAGUAUAAACAAUUUUGUACUGUGAAACUGCGAAUGGCUCAUUAUAUCAGUUAUAGUCUACUCGAUAGUACCUUACUACUUGGAUAACCGUAGUAAUUCUAGAGCUAAUACAUGCAUUACACCCAACUUGCUUUGCGGACGGGUAGCAUUUAUUAGAUUGAAACCAAUGCAGUCCUAGACUGGUAUUGUGUUGAAUCAUAAUAACUGUGCGGAUCGCGCUUUUGCGCGAUAAAUCGAUUGAGUUUCUGCCCUAUCAGCUUUGGAUGGUAGGAUAUGGGCCUACCAUGGCAUUAACGGGUAACGGGGAAUUAGGGUUUGAUUCCGGAGAGGGAGCCUUAGAAACGGCUACCACAUCCAAGGAAGGCAGCAGG